GACGAACGCUGGCGGCGUGCUUAACACAUGCAAGUCGAACGAAGUGGCGAACGGGUGAGUAACGCGUAAUCAACCUGCCCUUCAGAGGGGGACAACAGUUGGAAACGACGGCAAAUACAGCAUACUGAAGGAGGGGUUUGCGUCUGAUUUGCUAGUUGGAGGGGUAACGGCCCACCAAGGCGAUGAUCAGUCGCCGGUCUGGGUGUGUGAACAGCCCCAUUGGGACUGAGACACGGCCCAGACUCCUACGGGAGGCAGCAGUGGGGAAUCUUCCGCAAUGGACGAAAGUCUGACGGAGCACCGCCGCGUGAGUGAUGACGGCCUUCGGGUUGUAAAGCUCUGUUAAUCGGGACGCGGUACCGGAAUAGAAAGCCACGGCUAACUACGUGCCAGCAGCCGCGGUAAUUC
This 408-nucleotide ribosomal RNA is filed under the name uncultured bacterium. RNAcentral describes it as "partial 16S ribosomal RNA". It matches the Rfam family "Bacterial small subunit ribosomal RNA", at positions 28 to 526 of the family's 1533-position model. The record is from RNAcentral.